AACACUUAAAUAUAAUAGAAAUCAAGUAUAUCCUCUGAAAAUAACUCUGUGAGUCAUGACUGUCUACAAUGAGUGUGACACCUGAGUCCCACUGUUUUCCCAGUCCUAUCUUCACUUUGUUUACAUCGCCAGGACUGCUGACCGGCUCAUCCUCUCACAUAUAAAAGUUGUUUAAUUGAGGGACUAGAGAAAAGAAGAAUAACAUACUGUACUCACUGCUUAACUGAAUGUCAUGUAAGCGUUUCUAGAUCACGCUCAUUUCAGGUAAAUUUACAUGCAGUGUGAAGAUACGAGCAUAAUAAAGAUCGCUAGCAUUAUCAUGCUGACACAACAAUGCAGCGCGAGUUGUUUUGGUUUCAUGCUGGUGCUCAAGGGCGACAUCUGAUCAUGAUCUAGAAACGCUUACGUGACAUUCAAUUAAGCAGCGAGUACAGAAUGUUAUUCUUCUUUUCUCUAGUCCCUCAAUUAAACAACUUUUAUUCACGAGGUGAUGAGCCGGCCGGCCGUCCCGGCGAUGUAAAUAAAGUUAAGAUAGGACUCGGAAAACAUCACAGACAGUGGGACUCGGGUGUUACACCCAUUGUAGACAGUCAUGACUCACAGGCUGCAUCCAAAUUGCCAAGUACCUACUCAAUCUGUCAGUAGUCAGUACCUACUAUCCGUUAGGCAGAUAUUUGUUCCUACUUCUUCUGAUUCAUUCAGUAAGGAAGUGACGUCAUUUACGUUAUCCGAACCGGCCGCAUCCACCCGUUUUUUGUUAUUUUUGUUUAGCUUUAUUCAAGAAGAGUAAUGCUCAUAUACAGUCA
Labrus mixtus (cuckoo wrasse) is the source of this 806-nucleotide long non-coding RNA. RefSeq lists it as uncharacterized. The record is from RefSeq and is a predicted model, not a curated record. NCBI's taxonomy places the organism in Eukaryota, Metazoa, Chordata, Actinopteri, Labriformes, Labridae. The transcript is spliced from 2 exons.